CAGCCGCCGCGGGAAAACAGAGGGUGCAAGCGUUAAUCGGAAUUACUGGGCGUAAAGCGCGCGUAGGUGGUUUGUUAAGUUGGAUGUGAAAUCCCCGGGCUCAACCUGGGAACUGCAUCCAAAACUGGCAAGCUAGAGUAUGGUAGAGGGUGGUGGAAUUUCCUGUGUAGCGGUGAAAUGCGUAGAUAUAGGAAGGAACACCAGUGGCGAAGGCGACCACCUGGACUGAUACUGACACUGAGGUGCGAAAGCGUGGGGAGCAAACAGGAUUAGAUACCCCUGUAGUCUCUGUCUCUUAUAA
RNAcentral lists this ribosomal RNA (301 nucleotides) under uncultured bacterium. RNAcentral's name for it is "partial 16S ribosomal RNA". It matches the Rfam family "Bacterial small subunit ribosomal RNA", at positions 509 to 809 of the family's 1533-position model. The record is from RNAcentral.